AGCAGGUGGUUUGGGAUAACUGACUUCAGCAUUUAAUUUGAAUUUUACUACUACCAAUAUUUUAAGUUUUUAAAAAUGACAUUGAAUUUACGGGGAGGUGAACAAUUUGUUUUUUGUGACUUCCACAUGGUGAAUAGGACAUGCCAUAGCAGGUUUGUCUCGAAACUCCCAUUUAUUCAUAUUGGAAUCCACCAGCACUUUGUAAGGUUUCCCAAAUGGCUAUCAUUUCCAUACUUGUGUGUGGAGAGAGGUGCUAUCAUGAUACAAUGUAGUUUGAGCAACUUACCUUUAUGUUACUAUUUUGUAUGUGGCAGAUCAAGUAUUCCGUGAUGCUUCCUGGCACUCAUGUUUGGCCUCAUACUGGUCCUACAAACUGCCGUUUACGACUUCACCUUGGACUGGUCAUUCCUAAAAAUGUCGCCAUAAGGGUUGGACGUGAAACAAGAACUUGGGAAGAAGGCAAAGCAAUAAUCAUUGAUGACUCAUUUGACCAUGAAGUUUGGCACAAUGGUUCAACCUUUAGACUUAUUUUAAUUGUGGACUUUUGGCACCCAGACUUGACACCUCGACAAAGAGCGUCAUUGUCUCCCAUCUAAUGAGCUUAAUUUUUAAAAUUUAGAGUGCAUGCAUGUGGAGGGGUGACCUUGAAUAGAAUGGUUGACUGUGUCUUAAGCCAGUUCAGUGCUGCAAUGACCUUUAUGUCAUGUUUUUAGCCAGUUUAUACUUUUAAAUAAAUUGUUGUAUUAUAGCUACAGUUUAAGAAAGAUCUCAGUAUCUCAGUAUCUCACAGUAUCUCAAUUAUGUAAAAUUGUGGUUGUGAAGAUUUUAAAUGAAGAUUCUAAUAGAUAUAAUUAAAUUUUUGAUAUCUUAUUUCUGCACAGUUGCUAUUAUUGCCACAAACAUGUCUGGAACAGAAAACCAGUCAUAGUCUUAAGUUUGAAUAGUUCAGAGAUUUCAGUUUCUGUUUUACAUGUUUGUCUUUAAGCUUGUACAUUCAAGAUUAGAGCUUUUUACAUAUUUUACACCCAUUUUAAAACUAAGGUGUCCUAGAGAUGGGUUAUCAGCAGCUACAGGGUCCCUCAUCUGCAGUUUCAUAAGCUGGACAGGUUAAUUUGAGUCAGUCCUGAAGAAGCUGUCUGGUUUUGCCCAGAUUACAAUUUAAUUAGAAAUUUUCAAAACUUUAGACAAGCUCAGCAAAGGUACUAUAAUAACAUGCUUGUCAACUGAGUUAGGUCUGAUUUUACAGGAUAAUACAUGUAUUUUGCUCUUGGUCAGGAUACAUUAACCCUCUGAUUUCCCAUCUGCCUGUCCCACUUAAAUUGUACUUUGUAACUUGGGAAAUUGGAAAUUUUAAGGCAAGGGGCUCUUUAAUGCAAUUCAAAGGAGUUACAUUACCUGCAAAAAAUUUCAGGUGUUUAAAUUUCAGAGACUUAAAAAUUUCGGAAUUAUAUUAUCAGGCCCUUUUUUGCCCGAAAAUAAAAUCAUCCCAGAUUUUUUGCAAGUAAUGUAUACCACUAUAUAUUGAGACAAUUUUUAUAUACCGUAUUAUUAUCCUCAAACAGAAAAUAUUGUAGUGGUCCAGUUUUGAGUUAAUGAUAGAAGACAGAGCUGUGCAGUGUUAGUCUUGAUCUGAACUAAAAUAUUCAGAUACCAGUUGUCAUGAGUAAGAAGAUUAAUAGCUGCUUGCAGCUUUGUUCAUAAUUUGGUUUAUCUUUUGCUUUUCUGCUGGUAUUUGGGAAUAUUUUACAUCAGAUAUUUGCAAGAUUUGUUAAACAUUCAGUCUUAGAGUGGUUCUUAGCCCGCAUUACUGCACUCAUUGUAUACCAAAGUGGUUUUAUGGUGUAGGAAACGAAGUGUGGAUGAUUUUAAUUUCUACUGUAUUAAAGGUGGUACUAAUUUUGUGAAGGAUCA
This is a long non-coding RNA of Orbicella faveolata, 1911 nucleotides long. The record is from RefSeq and is a predicted model, not a curated record. Lineage: Eukaryota; Metazoa; Cnidaria; Anthozoa; Scleractinia; Merulinidae.